CCAAAAAAACAUGGAGUAACCCUGGAGUUUAGUUGUAGUCCCACAGAAGCAACUGCACAUUCAACUUGAAUGAGUACUUCAGGACCGCGUCGCACGCGCAGCUGUGAGUGCUACGUAGGGGGCGAGCGACUCUGAAUAUCCGGCUCCGUAGGAUGGAAACUUGGACCGUAUGGGACGGACAUACAAUGUGACUACAUGGCUAAAAUUGAUGGACUCGGACAGCUGACCCGCGUGCAAUUAAAAAAUAUCAGCAACGUUGAGGGGGAGAUAGACGAAGUAGAGACACUAUGGAGACUGACAUGGUCUAUCCUCACUGGUGUGACGGCGUUUAUGACGAUUCACGCUCUGGUAGGCAACUUUCUCGUUAUGUGCUUGUACGUUUGCAUCGGGAGGAAAAACACAGUCCACACUUACCAGGUGUUCCAGCUCGCCCUCUGUGAUUUUG
Long non-coding RNA from Physella acuta, 445 nucleotides. RefSeq lists it as uncharacterized. The record is from RefSeq and is a predicted model, not a curated record. Lineage: Eukaryota; Metazoa; Mollusca; Gastropoda; Physidae.